GUGWCAAGUCGAGCGGUAGAGAGAAGCUUGCUUCUCUUGAGAGCGGCGGACGGGUGAGUAAUACCUAGGAAUCUGCCUGAUAGUGGGGGAUAACGUUCGGAAACGGACGCUAAUACCGCAUACGUCCUACGGGAGAAAGCAGGGGACCUUCGGGCCUUGCGCUAUCAGAUGAGCCUAGGUCGGAUUAGCUAGUUGGUGAGGUAAUGGCUCACCAAGGCUACGAUCCGUAACUGGUCUGAGAGGAUGAUCAGUCACACUGGAACUGAGACACGGUCCAGACUCCUACGGGAGGCAGCAGUGGGGAAUAUUGGACAAUGGGCGAAAGCCUGAUCCAGCCAUGCCGCGUGUGUGAAGAAGGUCUUCGGAUUGUAAAGCACUUUAAGUUGGGAGGAAGGGCAUUAACCUAAUACGUUAGUGUCUUGACGUUACCGACAGAAUAAGCACCGGCUAACUCUGUGCCAGCAGCCGCGGUAAUACAGAGGGUGCAAGCGUUAAUCGGAAUUACUGGGCGUAAAGCGCGCGUAGGUGGUUUGUUAAGUUGAAUGUGAAAUCCCCGGGCUCAACCUGGGAACUGCAUCCAAAACUGGCAAGCUAGAGUAUGGUAGAGGGUAGUGGAAUUUCCUGUGUAGCGGUGAAAUGCGUAGAUAUAGGAAGGCACACCAGUGGGCGAAGGCGACUACUUGSACUGAUACUGACACUGAGGUGCGAAAGCGUGGGGAGCAAACAGGAUUAGAUACUCUGSUAGUCCACGCCGUAGACGAUGUCAACUAGCCGUUGGGGAGUCUUGAACUCUUAGUGGCGCAGCCUAACGCAUUAAGUUGACCGCCUGGGGGAGUACSGC
Molecule: ribosomal RNA, 841 nt
Filed under: uncultured Thermomonas sp.
Lineage: Bacteria; Pseudomonadati; Pseudomonadota; Gammaproteobacteria; Lysobacterales; Lysobacteraceae
Description: bacterial SSU rRNA
Rfam family: Bacterial small subunit ribosomal RNA
Source: RNAcentral